UGGGGUGUGGCUCAGUGAUAGAGCGCUCCGCUCGCCUAGCAUGUGCUGGGCACUGGGUUCGAUCCUCAGCACCACAU
RNAcentral lists this transfer RNA (77 nucleotides) under Marmota monax (woodchuck). Its description in RNAcentral is "tRNA.Ala". Lineage: Eukaryota; Metazoa; Chordata; Mammalia; Rodentia; Sciuridae. The record is from RNAcentral.